CGGGGAAUUUUGGACAAUGGGCGAAAGCCUGAUCCAGCAAUGCCGCGUGUGUGAAGAAGGCCUUCGGGUUGUAAAGCACUUUUGUCCGGAAAGAAAUCCUUGGCUCUAAUACAGUCGGGGGAUGACGGUACCGGAAGAAUAAGCACCGGCUAACUACGUGCCAGCAGCCGCGGUAAUACGUAGGGUGCAAGCGUUAAUCGGAAUUACUGGGCGUAAAGCGUGCGCAGGCGGUUUGCUAAGACCGAUGUGAAAUCCCCGGGCUCAACCUGGGAACUGCAUUGGUGACUGGCAGGCUAGAGUAUGGCAGAGGGGGUAGAAUUCCACGUGUAGCAGUGAAAUGCGUAGAGAUGUGGAGGAAUACCGAUGGCGAAGGCAGCCCCCUGGGCCAAUACUGACGCUCAUGCACGAAAGCGUGGGGAGCAAACAGGAUUAGAUACCCUGGUAGUCCACGCCCUAAACGAUGUCAACUAGUUGUUGGGGAUUCAUUUCCUUAGUAACGUAGCUAACGCGUGAAGUUGACCGCCUGGGGAGUACGGUCGCAAGAUUAAAACUCAAAUGAAUUGACGGGGUCAUAGCUGUUUCCU
This 584-nucleotide ribosomal RNA is filed under the name uncultured bacterium. RNAcentral describes it as "partial 16S ribosomal RNA". It matches the Rfam family "Bacterial small subunit ribosomal RNA", at positions 355 to 1375 of the family's 1533-position model. The record is from RNAcentral.